AUGGCAGCAUUUCUAAUUACAUGUGUCAUCAUCCAAGCAGUCCUGCUUUGGGUUAUCGAAUGUAGACCUCUUAAAAAUGGCCCCAUGUAUAAAGCUAGGUCCACUGGCGGUGGCUCUUAUAAAGCGCCAGGAGACCCAGAAUCCACACAUGGAGCAUCUCAAGAUGGCUCCUGGGUUAUGUCUCCUAUCACCUUCUCCGGAGGGCAAGGUGGUUCAUCCACCAGUAAUGGCAGCCCAUCUGCGUUACCUCCUCCACCGGAGUCCUUCCCAGGAGAGCUGCUCCAGGUUGAGGCCACGAACGAGAAGGGUGCCUACGAGUCUGAGACCCAGGAAAAAGGCACCCCUCCACUGCCUGCCAGCGCUCCUCAACUAGGAGCCUCCAUGCCCAGUGCCUUUUCCCGGGGGUCUUCCUUUCCUUUCAAUAUGAGGUUCCUCAGAGGCCAGUACCUUACAGGAACCUACACUGACUACACCAGUAGCUUGGAGAAUGGCAGAGAUGACUCGCAGGAGAACCACUACAUCGUUUAUGACUCUCCCAGCAGCAGUGAGGAAGAGCAGCAGCAGCAGCAGGAACAGCAGUGGGAGGAGGAGGAGCAGUGGGAGGGGCAACAGCAGGAGUGGGACAGCGUGCAACCAGUGUGGCAGCAGCAGCAGGGCCAGAGCGUCCAGAUGGCCAGUCUGGGAAUGCCAUCAGGAUAUGGACAACAAGCCCAGAGCUUUCCCACUAGGUAUUACCAGUAGCCAACCGCUAGGCAGCAAGUAUGGGGGGGAGGAGGAGGGGGGAGGAGGAGAAGCCCUCGGUGAGUGCUGUAUAUGGAGGGUACAAGGGAUGGAAGUGAACCCUUGAUCAUUAACAUGUUGUCGGUUUGGUCAAUAAAACUACAAAUGUAACUUCCAUGUAUUGUGUACUGCUUGACUUGAUUUUACUAGCGACAACAUUCAGCACGCACACGUCUACAACAAGAGAGCAUUUGUACCUAAUUUUGCGGACUACCAUGAUCCAUAGCCGCAUGAUUAAGGGUUAAUUGCAGGUAUGGAGCUCGUAAGUCGCCAUUGCACAUGGGACCUAUGAGACCGAAAAAAAUGAAUGAGAAAGUAAUUAUUUUCUGAUCCAAGUCUUUAUAUGCCCCGGAUUACACUUGUUUGUGGAUUUAAAUGAUAAUUUUCAUGCAAAAAAAAUAAUUUAGCGGGU
This 1192-nucleotide long non-coding RNA is filed under the name Gadus morhua (Atlantic cod). Its description in RNAcentral is "lncRNA (ENSGMOG00000035472.1)". Lineage: Eukaryota; Metazoa; Chordata; Actinopteri; Gadiformes; Gadidae. The record is from RNAcentral.